AAGUCGUAACAAGGUUUCCGUAGGUGAACCUGCGGAAGGAUCAUUAACACGUUAAAUCCCCCCCGUGAAUCUUCAUCCUGCUAACCCCACAGUUUAAUGUGAAGCUCAAUGUAAUACAUUGGGUAAAAAAACCGAACAACUGUUAACAAUGGAUAUCUUGGUUCUC
Molecule: unclassified non-coding RNA, 166 nt
Filed under: fungal sp.
Lineage: Eukaryota; Fungi
Description: partial internal transcribed spacer region
Rfam family: Eukaryotic small subunit ribosomal RNA (bases 1-46)
Source: RNAcentral